AGAUUGAACGCUGGCGGCAGGCCUAACACAUGCAAGUCGAGCGGUAGAGAGGUGCUUGCAUCUCUUGAGAGCGGCGGACGGGUGAGUAAUGCCUAGGAAUCUGCCUAGUGGUGGGGGAUAACGUUCGGAAACGGACGCUAAUACCGCAUACGUCCUACGGGAGAAAGCGGGGGACCUUCGGGCCUCGCGCCAUUAGAUGAGCCUAGGUCGGAUUAGCUAGUUGGUGAGGUAAUGGCUCACCAAGGCGACGAUCCGUAACUGGUCUGAGAGGAUGAUCAGUCACACUGGAACUGAGACCACGGUCCAGACUCCGUACGGGAGGCAGACA
This 328-nucleotide ribosomal RNA is filed under the name uncultured soil bacterium. Its description in RNAcentral is "bacterial SSU rRNA". It matches the Rfam family "Bacterial small subunit ribosomal RNA", at positions 26 to 353 of the family's 1533-position model. The record is from RNAcentral.